CAGUAGCCGCGGUAAUACGAAGGGGGCUAGCGUUGUUCGGAUUUACUGGGCGUAAAGCGCACGUAGGCGGACUUUUAAGUCAGGGGUGAAAUCCCGGGGCUCAACCCCGGAACUGCCUUUGAUACUGGAAGUCUUGAGUAUGGUAGAGGUGAGUGGAAUUCCGAGUGUAGAGGUGAAAUUCGUAGAUAUUCGGAGGAACACCAGUGGCGAAGGCGGCUCACUGGACCAUUACUGACGCUGAGGUGCGAAAGCAUGGGGAGCAAACAGGAUUAGAUACCCCGGUAGUCCCUGUCUCUUAUAU
This 301-nucleotide ribosomal RNA is filed under the name uncultured bacterium. RNAcentral describes it as "partial 16S ribosomal RNA". It matches the Rfam family "Bacterial small subunit ribosomal RNA", at positions 509 to 809 of the family's 1533-position model. The record is from RNAcentral.